RNAcentral lists this ribosomal RNA (383 nucleotides) under uncultured eukaryote. RNAcentral describes it as "partial 18S ribosomal RNA". It matches the Rfam family "Eukaryotic small subunit ribosomal RNA", at positions 592 to 976 of the family's 1831-position model. The record is from RNAcentral.
CAAUAGCGUAUAUUAAAGUUGUUGCAGUUAAAAAGCUCGUAGUUGGAUUUCUGGUGGGAGCGAUCGGUCUGGCGCUUAGCGCGAGUACUUGCAUCGUCUCCGGCCAUCCUUGGGGAGAGUCUGUCUGGCAUUAAGUUGUCGGGCAGAGGAUCCUCAUCGUUUACUGUGAAAAAAUUAGAGUGUUCAAAGCAGGCUUAUGCCGUUGAAUAUAUUAGUAUAGAAUAAUAAGAUAGGACUUUGGUACUAUUUUGUUGGUUUGCGCACCAAAGUAAUGAUUAAUAGGGACAGUUGGGGGUAUUCGUAUUCCGUUGUCAGAGGUGAAAUUCUUGGAUUUACGGAAGACGAACUACUGCGAAAGCAUUUACCAAGGAUGUUUUCAUUAA